Molecule: long non-coding RNA, 508 nt
Organism: Anthonomus grandis grandis
Lineage: Eukaryota; Metazoa; Arthropoda; Insecta; Coleoptera; Curculionidae
Exons: 4
Source: RefSeq, a predicted model, not a curated record
AAUUGUCAGGUGGUGUAUAGAAUAUUUGAGGAAAAUUAAAAAAAUUUGGGAGGAAGAAAGAUCCAUAUAUUAUUUAGCCGAAACAUGAUAUGAUACAUUUAUGAUUGAUGUAUGACUUCCAUUCUCUGGGAAAAAAGUCCCUUUUUUGCCAUACUUACUGCCCCUGUUGUCCUUCAGUGAUACAAUAAAGACUGCUUCUUCCACCAUUCUCUGGGAAAAACCCUUUUUUGCUAUGCUUACUACCCCUGUUGUCCUUCAGCAACACAAUGAAGACUGCUUCUUCCUCCAUUCUCUGGAAAAAAGUCCCUUUUUUGCCAUACUUACUGCCCCUGUUUGUCCUUCAGCGACACAAUAAAGUAUAUAUAAUGUAAUGCUUUAGAAUCCAUAUGCUGAUGUGCGAGAUGAAGUUGGAAUCCAUGGCGGCAACAGAGAAACUGUUUCCUUCCUUAAUGGAAGAAACUGCUAAAGAACAAUGGCAAAAAAACAGAAUUUACAAAAUUUAUAUUAA